AACGAACGCUGGCGGCAUGCCUAACACAUGCAAGUCGAACGAGACCUUCGGGUCUAGUGGCGCACGGGUGCGUAACGCGUGGGAACCUGCCCUUAGGUUCGGAAUAACUCCCCGAAAGGGGUGCUAAUACCGGAUAAUGUCUUCGGACCAAAGAUUUAUCGCCUUUGGAUGGGCCCGCGUUGGAUUAGCUAGUUGGUAGGGUAAAAGCCUACCAAGGCGACGAUCCAUAGCUGGUCUGAGAGGAUGAUCAGCCACACUGGGACUGAGACACGGCCCAGACCCCUAGGGGAGGCGGGGGGGGGGAAUAUGGGACAGGGGGCAAAAGCCUGAUCCGGCAAGGCCGGGGGGGUGAUGAAGGCCUUGGGGUUGUAAAGCUCUUUUCCCCGGGAUGAAAAGGAAGGACCCGGGGGAAUAAGCCCCGGCUAACCCCGU
Molecule: ribosomal RNA, 432 nt
Filed under: uncultured bacterium
Lineage: Bacteria
Description: partial 16S ribosomal RNA
Rfam family: Bacterial small subunit ribosomal RNA
Source: RNAcentral